GCAAUCCUAAUAGGUGUGAGGUGAUACCUCUUUGUGGUUUUGAUUUCAUUUCCCUGAUGGUUAAUGAUGUUGAACAUCUUUUUAUGUGCCUGUUGGCCAUUUGUAUGUUUUCUUUGAAGAAAUGCCUUUUCAAGAUUUUUGCUUUUGUUUCUUGUGCUUUUGGUGUCAUAUCCAAGAAGUCAUUGCCUGGGCCAAUGUCAUGAAGCAUUUCCCCCAUGCCUUCUUUUGGGAGUUUUACAAUGUCAGGUGUUAUGUUUAAGUCUUUAAUAUAUUUUGAGUUGUUUUUUAUGUACAGCAUAAGGUAAGAGUUCAGUUCUCUUGUAUGGAUAUCCAGUUUUCCCAGCACCAUUUUUGGAAGAGACUGUUAUUUUCCCAUCGUGUAUUAUUGGCACUAACUAUAAUGGUGAAAAGUUAAACGCUUUUCCUUUAAGAUCAGGAACAAGACAAGGACGCCCACACUCACUGCUUCUAUUCAGCAUAGUAGUGGAAGUCCUUGCCAGGGCAAUUAGGCAAGAGAAAGAAACUAAAGGCAUCUAAAUGAGAAAAAGAUAAAAUUAUCUCUGUUUGCGGAUGACAUGAUCUUAUGUGUAGACAACCCAAACUUUCUUAUCUUCACAGAAUAUUUUGCAAGAGUUGAGCUCCUAGAAAAUGAGCUUAGAUCAUUUCUCCCCUCUGGCCAGUAACAAGAUGCUCCUACACUGAGCUUCAUUUAGCACAGCCCUGGACACACCACCAGGCACUCAGCAAACAUCAGACAAUUUCCAGUUCAAUGGAAAAUUCUCAGUUAUCCAUGGCAGAAUCAUGGCCCUGUCAUGCACUGGCUGAGUUUCCUUGAGGAAGCUGCUUAAGCUUUCUGACUCUUGGUUUUGUUAUCUGCAAAAGGGGAAUAGCAGUGUCUAUACCACAGGGAUAAUAUGAAGGCUAAAUGAGAUCCUGUAAAGCAAUCUUUCCAAGUCCUGAGCUUGACACAAUAAUAAAAACUAACCUUUAUUUAAUUAUUGAGGUAGAGGAAGGAGGAUAAAGAACAGGACCAAAGAACAGAAGUUAUUUCCCAGUGAACUUAAACAAUUCAUGAGUUUUCUCAUCUCAAGCAGGAGGGCCUUAACUGCAUUGUCUCAUGCCUUUAACCAGUGAGAGUCAGAGAGAGCUAAGGCACAUCCAACUCCAUUGCUCAACUCCCAGGCACCCAGCAGCAGGUAUAGAGCGUUGGGAGCUGCACUCUCCAUACUGAUGUUAUAAUUAAUCUUCCACCUCAGUCAACCGAUCAUAGAGUUCCACUUUUGGAAGUGUUCCAACCUGCACCCAGGAGGCUUCUGCAGUCUUUUUUGCUGCCAGAAUGUCCGCCCUGAUUUACACCUGACUUCGGCAACAUCUGAGCAUUCAUAUCUGUGCUACAUGCUGGCUGUAGCCAUGGGUCUCAUUCUAAAACAUCCUUGCCUUCAAAUACAGGCAUGAGGCAGCAGUGGAGGAAGGAGAGGUAAGAAACUAUUCAUCGGCCGAUGUUCUGUGCUGCUGCCUCAUGGGCAUGCUGACGGCAAGAGUUAUGAGGUGUAAACCUGGGUUCACAUCUUGUUUUCUUCUCCAGGUGAGGGUACUUCAUAGAGCUCAGAAGAAACUCAAGGACCAGCUCUCUCGGGCUGCCCCUGUAAUAUGGCCCACUGAGGGCAGGUUCCUGGCUGCCCUUGGAACAGUGCUGCGGUCAUCAGAUGGUGUGAAAGACAAAUGCCUUUGUGCCCUCAAAGGCAACCAGUAUAUAUGGGAGGUGCUGUCCCCCCCUUCUGCCACUCAUCAGCUCAUGGUAAACAGAGGCCACUUAGGCACCACUCAAGGCAUUGACCAGUCUGAGUCCUAAUUAUAGGGUCCUACUUAUAGCCAUUAUGAACCUCAAAGCCAAACAACAAUGAAUUUUGUCAAAGGACUCCUCCUGGCUUUAGUUGAACAGAAUCAUCAGACUAGGAAGCCAUUAGUGACCUUCGUGAGUUUCCAGAUCUUCAUUCUCAUGGCUCUUAUCAGAGAUUUGGUCUGAGGUGAUAGUGUUAUAGGGCCCUGAUGCAAAAAGCCCAGUGCAGAUUGGCUCACUUGCUGCUGCAUCUUGAUUGUCCAUGGGUGGGGUCUACUCCUGAGGUCUUGGGAUUGAAAAAGUUCACACGGACUGUAAAUCCUGCCAUUGCUACCGAUGACACUUGUACUUGUUGCGGUGUGUCCAUUGUAGUGGGAAGAGCUCUGCUCUUAGAGUGUUAUACAGCCUAUAGGGUUUGGAUUCUUCACAUUUGGUUGGUUGACUUUGAGUCUCAGCACUUUCAAUUGUAAGGUGGGGACACUACAAACUUACAGAAGUUAUUGUGAAUACACAACCAUCCAAGUAAUUACACCUGCAGAGCUGACCAGUUUACUUUCUUGCUUGCUGUCUGGUAAAACUCUUGCCAAUCAUAGACAAACGAUCAAUGCAUAAGGUAACCUCAUUUGAGAGUUCAAGUUCUGAACAGAAGAAAAGGAUCUCAUUCCUGUUAUGAACAGCUUAGUUAUAAAGUCAAAUGUAAAAUCAAAUAUGUGUUUCUGUGGCAAAUGGUUAAAUUCUUACCUUUUACAAAACAUUCAGUAGUCACAAGGUCUUUACACACUCACUGCUUAUCCAUCAUAUUUAUAUAUGGUGUGCCUGUUAGGUAAGACAUACACACUUUGGUUAGUUACUUGAAUAGAUCAUAAAAUUAAGUCUAGGACUAUGUUUUCUGCUUUAUUUAAAUUUUCUCAUCCAAGGAAAAAUUUCAUGAAGAGUGGUUGAAUGAAUGAAUGAAUGAAUGAAUGGACAUUUACUGUCUUGAAUAAAACCUUUUUAUAUAAUUUAGCUUGUUUUGCAAAAGAAUGAAACACUAGCUUCAAACUCUUUAUUUUUCAUUGAUCUUUAGAAAUCAGGGUCCCUCUUUUGAAUACACCCCUUGUUCAAGGAAAGGAACCAUUUAUGUUCUGUCCUUGAUUACUGCACAAUGGCUUUUACUACAUUUGAUUUGCAGCAGUUCAUUUGUGAUUAAAUUUUCUAAUUCUCCCAGAAAGUCAUUGAACAAGCAAACAGUUUACUUUCCCCAAUAAAACAAAGCCUAAAGUAUUUGGUCUUUAAUAAAUGCUCAAAAAUUAUUUUCUCAGUGUGUGUUCAAGAUAUAAAUAUCCCUUCAUCUCAACCCUCUUUUACAUAUUUGACCAAUCUACCUUUAUAGAGUAGUUGUUUCUCCUUAUGUCAUUUCUGAUCUAUCUUUCUUGAAUUCUUCUUUGCUUAGUUUUUAAUCAAGCCAAAUGUUUGUUUAAUCAGAUACCUCAAUUAGUCAAGACCUGUCUCUUUUAUCAGAAAGUGAAUUUAGAGAACAAUUCUAAAACAUAGGGUAAUACAAAUUUUUUAAAAGAAAACCAAAUUCUAAGCUCAGCUUGGUCCCAGGGCAAAUUCACUCCUCAUUCUUAAUUCUUCUCCAUUUCUGGUCACGGGAGGGGCACCCCCAAAAUGCUGACCCUAGGACUCCCCAAGAUCCUCCAGCAUCCAAAAGGCCUCUCUUCUCCAGUCUUUACUUUCUAUGGGAACAGGUUGAAACCCCUGGGAAUGAAUACAUUCUCAACUAAAAAUACAAAUUAAAAGAAUUUCUUGCUUAGACUAUCAGAAACUUGAUCUAGUGCACAUAUUUCCCAAGCAUUUCAUUUACUAGAUCUGAUUAAGACACUCUGUUAUUGUAUCAUUUAAAUUUUUAAAUUUUAUUAUUUAAAUUUUAAAUACAAGUUUUAAAGGAUGGUUACAAAUUAGUAACUCAAAAUAAUUGAGUGGAAAGAUCAAGGUACAAGACACUCUGCCUUUACCUUCAAAGUCUGAGCAAAUAUGAUUUUAUAUCUUUUUAAUUAGAGAUUCUUUUAAAGACCAAGUUACUGCAGUCCUGUCUUGUUCUUCUCCUAUUUUAUAUUGAUGUGCUCAGUACCUUGGUGUCUUUGUCUGUCUUUUAGGGGGAAGGGAAUACACGUUUUGGACUAGAGUAGCACAGAUGCCAUUCUUACCUCACUGUAGGUUUCUUUAAAGAAUGUUUAGUCCUGACAAUGCGAUGCAGAUUUCUUUCUCUCCCCACUCUAUCUUUUGCAGAGCUUUAUCCCUUUUUCAUUGUUCAGCAUAACUGGGAACCUGCCAGCUCGCCACAAUGACACAUAAUGAUUUUUGCAAAGUGUGUGUCAAAUGUCCUGAGCUUAGAAGAGAUUCAUCGUAGAGACUGCUGCUUAAUGAGUGUAAAUUAACUGAUCAUUUGCUAAAUCUGAUGUGCCCAGUGGUGUGGACGGGAGAAUGCUGGAUAGGAUGUAGGAGAUGCAGGUGAGCAGACGGGUAGCAGAGACACAUACCGUGUUUCUGAGCGAGGACUGUAGCAUGGCCAGAAGGCUGUUCUGAUGUAGAGAGGGAUUUUCCGCUCACGGUAGGACCCAGUACCGUGAGACUGAGGACUGAAACACAAAGUUAACACAGAUCUCCCGAACAGUCCGCUUUAGGGCUGGAGCCUGCUGGGAUCAGUCCUCUUGAGAAGAACAACAAUCUGGUUGAGAUUGAACUUGCCAAAGACAAUGAGACUAAACAAGAGACGCCUGCUGGUAAACAUCAGGGCUGUUGUGUGGAAGCUGAGGGAGGAAGAAAACACAAAAGCUGUGCAUGAUGAUAAGGCUAGUGGGCCUAGUGUUACCAGUACCACAGAUCUACAGCUCCUCCUAGAGGCAGGGCACAUUCAGAAUAAGCAACAGGGAGCUGCAUGUCAUGUAGUCAAGCAACUGUAUAUUUCUUCUUCAUUCAUUUCUGGGACAUACAUAUGAAAUAUCUUCAGCUUCAUAUCUGAGAUGGCAGGAACAUGACAACAUAUUAGCUUUUAGGUAGACACCCGUAGGUCUUAGGAUGUGGUGGAAAAUUGGGUGUCAUUUUUUCCAGAUAAUCACUGGCAUUUUUAUAAAACAUGAAGCCCUUCCUAAAGUCUGUGCUUCCCAGAUAGUAGUGAGGAGAAAUAGGCUUGUGGAGACCAUAAGGGUUUAUUUUGGAGUGGGUCUUGUGAAUUUGACAGUUUAAUAGUCACGUGGACGCACACUGUUGUUUGCAGGAGGGGCCAUGAACCCCUGCCCUGAAUGAAAGGGAAAUACUUAUGUCCAUGGUAACCAGGGCCAGUGGCAGCCAGGAAGCCAAGACCUGGCCUCCGCUGCCACUGCUCAUACAAACCAACUAAACAUGUGUACAUCACGUAUGGGAUAUAGGAGAAGCACAUCUGAAGGGCUAUGGCAGAAGUGGAAAGAAGGCAAAACUCUUCCACACAGGCAACCCGUGCUUUCCAGACAAAUCUCACAACAUCAAACUAGAAGUAUUCAUGCCACCCCCUACCCCUGCCAACUAGAACUGGCUGUCUGUGUCAGGUCGUCAUCUUAUCUUAGAACACAUCCAUUGAUACAUACACUGUUUCUUCUUCCCUAUUACCUCUGAUUCUGCUUCUCUAAAAUAAAAGCUGACCGACUGGUUGGAAUAAUAAUACAUAUACCACCUGGCAUUUUACAGUUUUACAUCAUCUCAGGUGAUACAACCAGGCUAUGAUGCAGUCAUGUCACCAUACUCUUUACCAGAUGAGCAGAUGAGAUGCAAACUCAGAAAUAUUAGGAAAUGUAGCUGUGAUGGAUUGGGCUAUAAUCAACUUGUGAUGUGGGAGUUUCUCAGAAUCUCUUUCCCUAUAUACAUAUGGUUCCGAGCUAGAGCUGGCCACAGUGAAGCCAUGAGACCUGGGAGGUGAAUGAAGGAGGGGCCAUUAUGCUCUGGAGGUUUUCAUCGUGUAACUGAACAGAGGUCCGGAUGCUCACCGCCUGCAGAAUCCAGUUAACAAGAAUGAGUUCUGGUAGAAAGAAAGUGACUUUAUUCACUCAAACUAAUAAAGAACAAGUGGCCGGGUUCCCAUCCAAAGCAACCACUUCAAUUUGGCAGAGAGGAAGACAGGGGUUUAAAAAAGGAAAACUUGAUGUGAAAAGCUUGCAAGAAUUGUGCUGAGUACAACGUCUGUGUACCUUGUUCUGGUGGCUAUCUUGGGUCCCAGUUUACCUGGAUCACGGGCUGGUGUCAUCUCAACAAUGGUGAGGCUGUUGACUCGCCACCUUGAAGUCAUCUCUGGAACUUUGCAGGUCAAGGGCAGGACCAGGUGGAGACAAUUGAAUCCUGGGGCUGGUUUCCCCCAUGCUGUUCUUGUGACAAUGAGUUCUCAGGAGAGCUGAUGGUUUUCUAAGGGGCUUUCCCCUUUGCUCGACUCUCAUUCCCUCUCCUGCUGCUCUGUGAAGGGGCGCCUUCCUCCAUAACUGUAAGUUUCCUGAGUCCCUCCCAGCCAUGUGGAACUGUGAGUCUGUUAAACCCGUUUUCUUUAUAAAUUAACCAGUAUCAGGUAUUUCUUCAUAGCAGCAUGAGAACGGACUAAUCCGGUAAUAUUCUCCACUGUUUUUCUGUUCUCUAUGUUAUUUAGUUCUGCUCUAUUAUUUAUUGUUUCCUUCCUUCUGCUUGCUUUGGGUUUAGCUUGCUCUUCUUUUGCUAGUUUCGUAAGGCAGAGUGUAGUUUGUGGAUUCAAGAUCUUUCUUCUUUCUUAAUAUAAAUGUUUACGGCUAUAAUUUUCCUUCCAAUUACUCUUUUUAUUGCAUUCCCUAAGUUCUGCUAUGUUGUGUGGUAUUUUUGUUUUUACUCAGCUCAAAGUAUUUUUGUGUUUCCCUUGUGGUUUCCUCCUUAAUACUUUGGUAAUUUAUCAGGGUGUUUAAUUUCCAAAUAUUCUUGUGUAUUUUCCAGUUUUCCAUCUGUUAUUGAUUUCUAAAUUCAUUCUGUUGUGAUCAGAAAAGACACUUUGUGUGAGUUGAUUUCAACCUUUUAAAAAUUAUGAAGACUUGUUUUGUGACCUCACAUACAGUCUAUUUUAGAGAAUGUUUCAGGUGCACUGGGGGGACAUGUGUAUUCUGCUGGGCUUGGCGGAGUCUAAUAAUCCCUAAUAUACCUCGCUUCUAAUGUAGGUGUUCCCGCCAGAGCAUGCCAGUGUCGUGUCCACAAUAACAAACAAAAAUUCAUUGUUUUCUUUUUCUAAGGCCAUAUUGUAGAUUCCCAGUUCAACUAUAAUAUAUAUUAUUUUAGCUGUCUAUUUAAAGUGUCACAUCAUCCUAGGGACCUUUCAACGGACUGACUACAUUUCUCACAAUUAUAGUAAUUACUGAAAAUAAACACAUGAGACUAUUCUCUUCAACUAAAAUAUCUUAUUUUACAUUUAGUACAAUUUAGAAAUUUGCAUGUAAAGCUAAGGAAGGACACAGCUUUAGAAACAAUGGACUCAUUUCUCUCCAGACCUAUGUGAAAGUUGGUUUGACAGUAAUUACCUUAUGGGAGCCCAAAGGUAUAAAAUAAGGAUGAGGAAUGAUUGUUCCCAUCACAGACGGAUCACCACAUCAUCCCCUGUGCAUUUGCAUGUUGUGUACUGAUCAGAGGUGGUGGUGGCGUGGUGUGGAGGGGCAGCAGUGGUGACGUGGAAAUGUAAAGAAUUUCGGGUACUGAGGAUCCAGUUAAAAAUCACACUGGAAAGAGAACCAAAUAUAGUCAAGGAAAGAAGAAGUGGCCUACAAACCUGUGAUAUGAUCUUGAAAUGACUUAUUUUAACAAGCAUACCUCCCAUCUAUUAUAUAAAAUAAACCUAAGUUACUAGAAAGAGAUGGGAGUUAAAUUCCCUAUCACUUACUAGCUGAGUGACUUUGAGCCUGUUUCCUAGUCUCUGUGAGCUUGUGUUUCUUCAUGUGGGUAAUAGAAGUCAUAAUAAUACUCACUUUAGCAAUUUGCUGUAAUAAUUGGCAACAAUAUCUUGAAGCACAGAUUAUAAUGUCCAGUAUGUAAUAGCCCUCUUGUAUGUCGCUGUAUUCUUUCUACUGUCCAUAGUUCUUUAGGUUAUUAGACUGACUUAUGAACUUUGAGCGCUGGUCAUCAGACCUACUUCACAUGGAGCCUCGAGACCCCUCCCUCGAAUUAUCAGACCCUUCCCCCUCUGGCCAUCAUCCUCCUCCCUCUGAUCAUCACUGUGCGCCCUUUGACCAUCAACCUCUUCCCUCUGGCAUCAGACUCUCCUCCCUCUGCCCAUCCUCCUCCUCCCUCUGACCAUCAGGCCCGCCUUACUUCCUCAUACCAGCAGCCGUGGAGUGGAUCUUCAACAAGCAGCCAACAGCAGCCAGGGACAGAUCCUCGGGCACUGUUUUUCUGUCCGAAAAAUCAGAAUCGUAUCAAAGGGUCGGACACCUGGACUGGCAAGACACGUUGGGGUUAUUUAUAACAGGGGAAAAUGAGGUCUCCAGGGAAACAAACCGUAAUAAAGAAUAUGAACUCCCGCAGACCGAAUUGCCUUCAACGAUCCUCAAAGACUUUUGUGUUUGACCAAUAUCAAUUAAUUACAUCAGUAAAUAACUGCCUGAGCCUUGUACUUCUGUCCUCCCAAGAUCCGGAAUGACUUCUGCUUUCAAAAUGAAUUUCAGGGCUUUCUUUGAAGCAGUCUUGUAAAGUUGUUAUAUUUAGUUUAAAUUCAAUUAAAGCUCAAUCUGAAAGCUCUUUCUGAAGCAUUUGAUCCACAUUUACAUGAAGGUAUUUGCUCUUAAAAUUGUUAGGGGUAUAGCUCAUUUCUAGUAAUAAUAAGUGGUAUUUCAUAAACCAGGAUACAUGAUCAUUUACUUCCUGAUAGCUUGCUUCUCCC
This 8729-nucleotide long non-coding RNA is filed under the name Homo sapiens (human). Its description in RNAcentral is "HSALNT0130584". Lineage: Eukaryota; Metazoa; Chordata; Mammalia; Primates; Hominidae. The record is from RNAcentral.